UACGUAGGGGGCUAGCGUUGUCCGGAAUCAUUGGACGUAAAGAGCGUAUAAACGGUCCGAUAAGUCCGCUGUGAAAGUCGGAGGCUCAACCCUCGAAUGCCAGUGGAUACUGUCGGGCUAAAGUGCGGAAGAGACGAAUGGAAUUCCUGGUGUAGCGGUGAAAUGCGCAGAUAUCAAGAAGAACACCUAUUGCGAAGACAGCUCGCUGAAACGUAACUGACGCUGAGACGCGAAAGCGUAGGAAGCAAACAGG
Molecule: ribosomal RNA, 253 nt
Filed under: uncultured bacterium
Lineage: Bacteria
Description: partial 16S ribosomal RNA
Rfam family: Bacterial small subunit ribosomal RNA
Source: RNAcentral